RNAcentral lists this ribosomal RNA (464 nucleotides) under Glyphoglossus yunnanensis (Yunnan squat frog). Its description in RNAcentral is "partial large subunit ribosomal RNA". It matches the Rfam family "Bacterial large subunit ribosomal RNA", at positions 1934 to 2564 of the family's 2925-position model. Lineage: Eukaryota; Metazoa; Chordata; Amphibia; Anura; Microhylidae. The record is from RNAcentral.
CGGUACCCUAACCGUGCAAAGGUAGCGCAAUCACUUGUUCUUUAAAUGAGGACUAGUAUGAAUGGCAUCACGAGGGUUAUACUGUCUCCCCCACCUAAUCAGUGAAACUGAUCUUCCCGUGAAGAAGCGGGAAUAGAAUUAUAAGACGAGAAGACCCCAUGGAGCUUUAAACUCAACAUCAACUGCCCUCUAAAUAACUUAUUAACCACGCAGAUCUGACAGUUAGUUUUCGGUUGGGGUGACCGCGGAGUAAAACAAAACCUCCACGAUGAAAGGAAUUAACCUCCUAAUCUAAGAGCUACAGCUCUAAGAAUCAACAAAUUGACAAAACUUGAUCCAAAUACUUUGAUCAACGAACCAAGUUACCCUGGGGAUAACAGCGCAAUCCAUUUCAAGAGCUCAUAUCGACAAAUGGGUUUACGACCUCGAUGUUGGAUCAGGGUAUCCCAGUGGCGCAGCCGCUA